RNAcentral lists this ribosomal RNA (392 nucleotides) under uncultured Sphingobacteriales bacterium. RNAcentral describes it as "bacterial SSU rRNA". It matches the Rfam family "Bacterial small subunit ribosomal RNA", at positions 987 to 1382 of the family's 1533-position model. Lineage: Bacteria; Pseudomonadati; Bacteroidota; Sphingobacteriia; Sphingobacteriales. The record is from RNAcentral.
GUAUGUUGACGUAUUCUGAAAGGGAUACUCUUCGGACAAUAUACAAGGUGCUGCAUGGUUGUCGUCAGCUCGUGCCGUGAGGUGUCGGGUUAAGUCCCAUAACGAGCGCAACCCUAUCAUUAGUUGCCAUCAGGUCAAGCUGGGGACUCUAAUGAAACUGCCUACGCAAGUAGUGAGGAAGGUGGGGAUGACGUCAAAUCAGCACGGCCCUUACGUCCAGGGCUACACACGUGCUACAAUGGCCGGUACAAAGGGCAGCUACCUGGUGACAGGAUGCUAAUACUCAAAAGCCGGUCUCAGUUCGGAUCGGAGUCUGCAACCCGACUCCGUGAAGCUGGAAUCGCUAGUAAUCGCGCAUCAGCCAUGGCGCGGUGAAUACGUUCCCGGGCCUU